UACGUAGGGGGCAAGCGUUGUCCGGAUUCAUUGGGCGUAAAGAGCGUGUAGGCGGCCUGGAAGGUCAGCUGUGAAAACUCGAGGCUCAACCUCGAGACGUCGGUUGAAACCACCUGGCUAGAGUCCGGAAGAGGAGUGUGGAAUUCCCGGUGUAGCGGUGGAAUGCGCAGAUAUCGGGAGGAACACCGAUGGCGAAGGCAGUGGGCUGGGCCGGCACUGACGCUGAGGAGCGAAAGCGUGGGGAGCGAACAGG
This 253-nucleotide ribosomal RNA is filed under the name uncultured bacterium. RNAcentral describes it as "partial 16S ribosomal RNA". It matches the Rfam family "Bacterial small subunit ribosomal RNA", at positions 524 to 776 of the family's 1533-position model. The record is from RNAcentral.